AUGAAACCAGAAGCAUCUGAAAAGGUUAAAGUGGAAGAAACACCUGAACAAAAUGUGCUACUUGAAACACCUGAGAGGUUAUCACAAAAUGAAAUGGGAAAACUUUUUCUUGAAGAAUUUUUUCCUGUCCAUAAAGAAUAUGAACAGGAAAGUGCUCUUGUUCCUUCAAAACUAACUCUAAGAGUGCUCAGUGCCCAGGAAGAUGUGGCUAAAAGAAGAAUGGGGACAACAAAAGUGGAAGAUAAAACCAUUUGUGCAGCUGUUGGACUUGAUGAAAGAAUUUCAAAUGUAUGGAAUGAGGGAAUGAAAAUAGGUGCUUAUAAGGAAGGUGAAGAAACCCAGUCAUUCAAGGAGACUGAUCUUCCACUAAAAGAAACAGAAGAGAUUCUCUUAAGUGAACAAGUCCAAGAAUCUCCUGAAAAGAUCAGUUUAAUCUCCAGAUGGAAAUCUGGCCUCAAAUAUAAAGACACUGAACCUCAGGGAAAUAGAGGAGAAGGAAUUUCUGAAGAAACACUUCAAAUCCAUCAGAAAACAAAAAAGAACAUUGGUGUGCUAGAAAAGCCAAAGAAUAGUUAUGGCCAGAUGAAAGAUGACAACAUUCAUAGGUUUGAUUUAAUUUGUUCUCAAAAACAGGUAAUUGAAGAAAAAGUCCAUAUAACAACUGAUUUGAAGAAAGCUAUAGAUGACUUAGUCAAAGAAAGUCAAGGUCCUAUUGCAGAAGCUAAGGAAACUGAUAAUAACACUUUGCAAGAGAAAAAAACAUUUGAACUCAAAGAAAAAGAAGAGGAGGGCAAAAGAGAAGUAGAUACAGGGGAAAUAGAAACCAAGGCAAUAUCAGAAGCACAAAUAAAGAAAGAAGUUGAAAAUCUAGAAACUGUAGUAGUAGAAAUUGUAGGGCAUGCAGUAACAGCAAAAUCAGAUAUAGAAGAGCACAAAUGGAAACUUGAGCCAAAACAAAGCAUCAUUUCAACAAAUGAACAGGAUGUUGAGGCUUUCAAAGAAAAGGCUAAAAAAUCAGAUGACCUAAGUGAUAUUAUAAGCUCCAAGUCUCCAAAGGCAGCUCCCUCCUCUUUUUCCAUGGUUGAGAGGCAGAAAGCACAGGAAAAUGUUCUGGUAUUUCAAAAAAUGCCUGAAAUUGAAAAGGAACAAAGUAAAACUCUUAAAGCAAAGAUAUUUGAAAAUAAAUUCUUCGUUGUAGAAGAGCCUACAGUUUUUAAAAAGGACCUUGAUCUUAUAAAAGAUUUUAGUUCUGAAGAGGAUGUAUCAGAGGAGGAAGAAGAUAUAAACUGGGACAUGGAAUUGGCUGAACUUUCUGAAGAUUCUGGUGGUCUUUCAGAAAAUAUUUGGGAAUGGGAAGAAUAUGAACUACCCAAAGGAAAGUCUGAUGAAAGGCGAGGUGAGAAAGGUUAA
RNAcentral lists this long non-coding RNA (1410 nucleotides) under Monodelphis domestica (gray short-tailed opossum). RNAcentral describes it as "lncRNA (ENSMODG00000037849.1)". Lineage: Eukaryota; Metazoa; Chordata; Mammalia; Didelphimorphia; Didelphidae. The record is from RNAcentral.